RNAcentral lists this ribosomal RNA (429 nucleotides) under Actinomycetes bacterium. RNAcentral describes it as "Actinobacteria bacterium partial 16S ribosomal RNA". It matches the Rfam family "Bacterial small subunit ribosomal RNA", at positions 355 to 776 of the family's 1533-position model. Lineage: Bacteria; Bacillati; Actinomycetota; Actinomycetes. The record is from RNAcentral.
UAGGGAAUCUUCCGCAAUGGGCGAAAGCCUGACGGAGCAACGCCGCGUGAGUGAUGAAGGUCUUCGGAUCGUAAAACUCUGUUAUUAGGGAAGAACAAAUGUGUAAGUAACUAUGCACGUCUUGACGGUACCUAAUCAGAAAGCCACGGCUAACUACGUGCCAGCAGCCGCGGUAAUACGUAGGUGGCAAGCGUUAUCCGGAAUUAUUGGGCGUAAAGCGCGCGUAGGCGGUUUUUUAAGUCUGAUGUGAAAGCCCACGGCUCAACCGUGGAGGGUCAUUGGAAACUGGAAAACUUGAGUGCAGAAGAUGAAAGUGGAAUACCAUGUGUAGCGGUGAAAUGCGCAGUGAUAUGGAGGAACACCAGUGGCGAAGGCGACUUUCUGGUCUGUAACUGACGCUGGUGUGCGAAGGCGUGGGGAUCAAACAGG